AUGCCUCCCUCGCCGUCGCAGCCGCCGCCGCCGGCCACGGAGGAGGUCGAGGUGGAGGACGUCUCGGACGACGAGACGGUGGAGGGAGAGGCGCCGCCACUUGCCCCGGCCCCGGCUCCGGCUCCUGCCCCGCCGGCCGGCGGAGGUGCCGAGGCGAGCCGUGCCGCGUCGGGGUCGGGGGAGGCGGCGGGCGGAGAAGGGGCCGACGAGGAGGAGGAGGACGAGGAUGAGGACGAAGAAGACGACUCCGACGACGAAGAGGACGAGGAUUCGGAGGAUGAAGGGGACGAGGACGAGGACGAAGACUCCGACGAGGAGGGGGACGACGAAGGCCAAGAUUCCGAUGACGACGACGAAGACGAGGACUCUGAUGAGGAGGAGGACGAAGACGAGGACGAUGAAGACGAGGACGAGGACGACGACGACGACGAGUAG
RNAcentral lists this ribosomal RNA (435 nucleotides) under Triticum aestivum (bread wheat). RNAcentral's name for it is "partial small subunit ribosomal RNA". The record is from RNAcentral. Lineage: Eukaryota; Viridiplantae; Streptophyta; Magnoliopsida; Poales; Poaceae.